Molecule: unclassified non-coding RNA, 350 nt
Filed under: Hevea brasiliensis (rubber tree)
Lineage: Eukaryota; Viridiplantae; Streptophyta; Magnoliopsida; Malpighiales; Euphorbiaceae
Source: RNAcentral
CAUUUUGUAGCGAAAUGAACCAAUCUGAAAUAUCCUUUCACCUGCCAAAGAAUGAAAAAAAAAAAUUAUAGGGCAUCAUGUUACACUAUAUUACAAAUAACGAUUAGAGCAUCAUCCUCAAAAGCAUACCUUAAAGUGCAUAUGAACUGAGGGAAAAAAAUGCAUAAAAAGAAUGAUAAUAUGAACAAACAGUUAAUACAUUGCACACCAGGAUCAUUGCCUACCUGAGUGCAAAUUUAUACUAGGAACUGACUUACGAGAAGAACUAUUUCUGUUCAUCGUCCCAGAAACAACACACGAAGCACCACUCUGCUCUCUUUUCUUCCUCUCUGCUUCAGCAACUGCCAGGG